Molecule: ribosomal RNA, 253 nt
Filed under: uncultured bacterium
Lineage: Bacteria
Description: partial 16S ribosomal RNA
Rfam family: Bacterial small subunit ribosomal RNA
Source: RNAcentral
UACGUAGGGGGCAAGCGUUGUCCGGAAUCAUUGGGCGUAAAGAGCGUGUAGGCGGCUCGAUAAGUCUGCUGUGAAAGUCCAGGGCUCAACCCUGGAAGGCCGGUGGAAACUGUCGGGCUAGAGCACGGUAGAGGCAGAUGGAAUUCCCGGUGUAGCGGUGGAAUGCGUAGAGAUCGGGAAGAACAUCAGUGGCGAAGGCGGUCUGCUGGGCCGUUGCUGACGCUGAGGCGCGACAGCGUGGGGAGCAAACAGG